AGUGUUUGGAAGCAUCGAUUGAGGCUACUGUGUGGCGGGUUAAGUAGAUUCGUACUGGUUUUAUGGACUGAGACAUAUAGCAUUUGGAGUUGCGAAUUCACAAGAGCUUGGUCGGUCUGUGCAUGUUGAUGAAAUAUUUUAGCAGACACAUAUUCAUCAAUCAAUAGGGGAAUUUGUGGACGAAAGGUCUAGGCGGACCCAUGAACAAUUUGUUGCAAAAUUUUCUCAAAUAAGAUCUGAGACUGCAUCUGUUGGUGUCUCAACAUCUUCUCCUCUAGACCCUAC
Molecule: long non-coding RNA, 285 nt
Organism: Vigna angularis (adzuki bean)
Lineage: Eukaryota; Viridiplantae; Streptophyta; Magnoliopsida; Fabales; Fabaceae
Exons: 3
Source: RefSeq, a predicted model, not a curated record